Molecule: ribosomal RNA, 440 nt
Filed under: uncultured bacterium
Lineage: Bacteria
Description: bacterial SSU rRNA
Rfam family: Bacterial small subunit ribosomal RNA
Source: RNAcentral
CCUACGGGAGGCAGCAGUGGGGAAUAUUGGACAAUGGGCGCAAGCCUGAUCCAGCAAUGCCGCGUGAGUGAUGAAGGCCUUCGGGUUGUAAAGCUCUUUCGCACGCGACGAUGAUGACGGUAGCGUGAGAAGAAGCCCCGGCUAACUUCGUGCCAGCAGCCGCGGUAAUACGAAGGGGGCUAGCGUUGUUCGGAAUUACUGGGCGUAAAGGGCGCGUAGGCGGCCUGUUCAGUCAGGAGUGAAAGCCCCGGGCUUAACCUGGGAACCGCUCUUGAUACUGGCAGGCUUGAGUUCCGGAGAGGAUGGUGGAAUUCCCAGUGUAGAGGUGAAAUUCGUAGAUAUUGGGAAGAACACCGGUGGCGAAGGCGGCCAUCUGGACGGACACUGACGCUGAGGCGCGAAAGCGUGGGGAGCAAACAGGAUUAGAUACCCUAGUAGUC